GACGCCGGGUAUCUCCGCCAGUCCGCGAGUUGUCGCGCACUGGCGCUUUUGUG
RNAcentral lists this small RNA (53 nucleotides) under Azospirillum agricola. RNAcentral describes it as "ffh sRNA". It matches the Rfam family "ffh sRNA". The record is from RNAcentral. Lineage: Bacteria; Pseudomonadati; Pseudomonadota; Alphaproteobacteria; Rhodospirillales; Azospirillaceae.